AGAGACUUGACCGAGUGGCUGAAGGUGAUUGUCUUGAGUACAAUUUAAUUGAAUAAAUUACGAGGGUUCGAAUCCCUCAGUCUCUG
This is a non-coding RNA of Mollisiaceae sp. DMI_Dod_QoI, 86 nucleotides long. NCBI's taxonomy places the organism in Eukaryota, Fungi, Ascomycota, Leotiomycetes, Helotiales, Mollisiaceae. The record is from the annotation of a GenBank genome assembly.